RNAcentral lists this transfer RNA (72 nucleotides) under Camelus bactrianus (Bactrian camel). It matches the Rfam family "tRNA". From Rfam's summary of the family: Transfer RNA (tRNA) molecules are approximately 80 nucleotides in length. Their secondary structure includes four short double-helical elements and three loops (D, anti-codon, and T loops). Further hydrogen bonds mediate the characteristic L-shaped molecular structure. tRNAs have two regions of fundamental functional importance: the anti-codon, which is responsible for specific mRNA codon recognition, and the 3' end, to which the tRNAs corresponding amino acid is attached (by aminoacyl-tRNA synthetases). tRNAs cope with the degeneracy of the genetic code in two manners: having more than one tRNA (with a specific anti-codon) for a particular amino acid; and 'wobble' base-pairing, i.e. permitting non-standard base-pairing at the 3rd anti-codon position. RNAcentral also lists the same sequence under 2 other names. Lineage: Eukaryota; Metazoa; Chordata; Mammalia; Artiodactyla; Camelidae. The record is from Rfam by way of RNAcentral.
CAGGGUAUAGCUCAGUGGCAGAAUGCAUGUUUAGCAUGCAUGAGGUCCUGGGUUCAAUCCCCAGUAUCUUUG